This 78-nucleotide non-coding RNA is filed under the name Pseudomonadota bacterium. RNAcentral describes it as "Proteobacteria bacterium SAH sequence". It matches the Rfam family "SAH (S-adenosyl-L-homocysteine) riboswitch aptamer". The record is from RNAcentral. Lineage: Bacteria; Pseudomonadati; Pseudomonadota.
UAUGCUGAGGAGCGCUGCAACGGUUUUUUCCGUGAGGCUCAGCAUAGAUGGGGUAAAUCACAACUGCGCUCGUUCAUA